RNAcentral lists this ribosomal RNA (554 nucleotides) under Trichosporon sp. BG090815.8.4.4.3.11. RNAcentral's name for it is "eukaryotic LSU rRNA". It matches the Rfam family "Eukaryotic large subunit ribosomal RNA", at positions 23 to 583 of the family's 3401-position model. The record is from RNAcentral. Lineage: Eukaryota; Fungi; Basidiomycota; Tremellomycetes; Trichosporonales; Trichosporonaceae.
ACCCGCUGAACUUAAGCAUAUCAAUAAGCGGAGGAAAAGAAACUAACAAGGAUUCCCUUAGUAACGGCGAGUGAACUGGGAAGAGCUCAAAUUUGAAAUCUGGCUGUCUUCGAUAGUCCGAGUUGUAAUCUAUAGAAGCGUUUUCCGUGCUGAACUGUGUCUAAGUCCCUUGGAACAGGGUAUCAAAGAGGGUGACAAUCCCGUACUUGACACAAUCAUCAGUGCUCUGUGAUACGUUCUCUACGAGUCGAGUUGUUUGGGAAUGCAGCUCAAAAUGGGUGGUAAAUUCCAUCUAAAGCUAAAUAUUGGCGAGAGACCGAUAGCGAACAAGUACCGUGAGGGAAAGAUGAAAAGCACUUUGGAAAGAGAGUUAAACAGUACGUGAAAUUGUUGAAAGGGAAACGAUUGAAGUCAGUCGUGUUCAUUGGAUUCAGCUAGUUCUUCUAGUCUACUUCCUUUGAACGGGUCAACAUCAGUUUUGUCCGGUGGAUAAAGGUAUUAGGAAGUGUGAGCUUCUUCGGAAGUGUUAUAGCCUGGUAUCACAUACACUGGGU